This 464-nucleotide ribosomal RNA is filed under the name Vreelandella stevensii. RNAcentral's name for it is "partial 16S ribosomal RNA". It matches the Rfam family "Bacterial small subunit ribosomal RNA", at positions 339 to 795 of the family's 1533-position model. The record is from RNAcentral. Lineage: Bacteria; Pseudomonadati; Pseudomonadota; Gammaproteobacteria; Oceanospirillales; Halomonadaceae.
CUACGGGAGGCUGCAGUGGGGAAUAUUGGACAAUGGGCGAAAGCCUGAUCCAGCCAUGCCGCGUGUGUGAAGAAGGCCUUCGGGUUGUAAAGCACUUUCAGUGGGGAAGAAAGCCUUGGGGCUAAUACCCUCGAGGAAGGACAUCACCCACAGAAGAAGCACCGGCUAACUCCGUGCCAGCAGCCGCGGUAAUACGGAGGGUGCGAGCGUUAAUCGGAAUUACUGGGCGUAAAGCGCGCGUAGGCGGUCUGAUAAGCCGGUUGUGAAAGCCCCGGGCUCAACCUGGGAACGGCAUCCGGAACUGUCAGGCUAGAGUGCAGGAGAGGAAGGUAGAAUUCCCGGUGUAGCGAUGAAAUGCGUAGAGAUCGGGAGGAAUACCAGUGGCGAAGGCGGCCUUCUGGACUGACACUGACGCUGAGGUGCGAAAGCGUGGGUAGCAAACAGGAUUAGAUACCCUGGUAGUC